GACGAACGCUGGCGGCGUGCUUAACACAUGCAAGUCGAACGGAAAGGCCCCUUUGGGGGUACUCGAGUGGCGAACGGGUGAGUAACACGUGAGUAACCUGCCCUUGACUUCGGGAUAACUUCCGGAAACUGGGGCUAAUACCGGCUAGGAAUCCUUGCUGCAUGGUGGGGGUUGGAAAGCUUCGGCGGUUUUGGAUGGACUCGCGGCUUAUCAGCUUGUUGGUGGGGUAGUGGCUUACCUAGGCUUUGACGGGUAGCCGGCCUGGGAGGGCGACCGGCCACAUUGGGACUGAGAUACGGCCCAGACUCCUACGGGAGGCAGCAGUGGGGAAUAUUGCACAAUGGGCGGGAGCCUGAUGCAGCAACGCCGCGUGCGGGAUGACGGCCUUCGGGUUGUAAACCGCUUUCAGCAGGGGCGAAGCUUGUGGUGACGGUACCUGCAGAAGAAGCACCGGCUAACUACGUG
RNAcentral lists this ribosomal RNA (465 nucleotides) under uncultured bacterium. RNAcentral's name for it is "partial 16S ribosomal RNA". It matches the Rfam family "Bacterial small subunit ribosomal RNA", at positions 28 to 507 of the family's 1533-position model. The record is from RNAcentral.